CCUGUGAGGCCCGGGGAUCCGAGCAGCCUCUUCACUGACCGGCUUCAGGCCACUGGGUUCCACAAUUGCAUCAGUGAUCCGAACAGCCUGUCUCCUCAGUGCCAAACAGCUGGACACUUAGAGAGGGGAGGCCAUUCAUGUCCAGACAUACAGGGUCUUGGUGAUAUUCCUUUGAAAAUAUCAGCUGAGGAACAGGAAGGCACAGACAUUUGCCCAAGCUCUGGGGGUGCAGGGAGCCAGAUGCAGUAAGUGUCUGAGAGUGAGCGCGUGCUGACGAGGACCCAGGCAGAGCCCCUGGAGGAAAAUUUCAACCAUGGAGAAGGCUGUCUUUUGAGUCCCGCGACUGGUGAAGUCGGACCCCAAUGUCAGCACCCAGGCUGCCCUGCUGCAUCCUCAUUGCCAGCCACGGGGACUGCUCUGCAUUCUGCUCUCAAUUCCAAAAGUUGUUGGGGCAGGCAAGCAACGGCAAGUCACCUCAGCUGGCCGCCACGGCACAACCUGCUGGCCCCGCCGCCUCGCUUCCUCUGCUGUGACUCUUGCCCAGGAAAUACUUCAGGUACAUCUGGAAACGCAGUGAAAACACUUGGCGUGGACACCAUGUGAAAAGUCAGCGCGGCGCAGGCGGCUGGGAGGCGCAGGGUGGGGGGCCCCGCCGCCUUCCCUCCUGCUCCUGCGCACUCUCUCUUCUUUUACAGAGAGCGUUAUUGUUCCAGCUGCCCCCCCACCCCCACAACCCCGGCUCUCUCCGUGUUACAAAUUAAAAUCUAUACUCACCAAAUAUGCAUUUAAUUCUAUUUUACUCAGGUAAUUAUUAUAAAAUUGCAUUGUUACUGGAAACGUAUUUUAAGAUUUUAAUAACCAUGAAGGAGAUUUAUAGCUAU
This 881-nucleotide long non-coding RNA is filed under the name Equus caballus (horse). Its description in RNAcentral is "lncRNA (ENSECAG00000060203.1)". The record is from RNAcentral. Lineage: Eukaryota; Metazoa; Chordata; Mammalia; Perissodactyla; Equidae.